UCUCCUAUUGUUGUUGCUGGGAGCUGGCAGCCAGGGGUAGUUGUGGCAGGGAAAGCAUGUGGACGAAAAGCUGGAACCCGUUGCUAGGUAAGGACCGCCUUCCCUUCUUCCAGGCCUGCAUGCACUUGCACAAUCAAGAAAUACCAUGGAGCUCACUCAGUGUCUUCCAUCUGCUUUUACAGGAGACUGCAGAACUGCAAGGUGAACACAUUGGCAUCCUCUCUCCAUAUCUGGUCCCUGAGGCUUGUUUCCCACCAUUCACAGGGCCCUCAGAAGUUGUACCAACCAGAAUCCACUCUCAACUACCUUGGGCAUGUGCCUGCUUUGAUGUCACAGAUAACAGGAAAGGGACCGUGCUGCAGCAUAGAUCUGGAGGUUAG
This 380-nucleotide long non-coding RNA is filed under the name Chrysemys picta bellii (western painted turtle). RNAcentral's name for it is "lncRNA (ENSCPBG00000024282.1)". The record is from RNAcentral. Lineage: Eukaryota; Metazoa; Chordata; Testudines; Emydidae.